Long non-coding RNA from Helianthus annuus (common sunflower), 501 nucleotides. RefSeq lists it as uncharacterized. The transcript has 4 exons. The record is from RefSeq and is a predicted model, not a curated record. NCBI's taxonomy places the organism in Eukaryota, Viridiplantae, Streptophyta, Magnoliopsida, Asterales, Asteraceae.
CUCGUUUGCAACCAAACACUCCUUUUCUACUAAUAAAGGAAAAAAAACAAAAAGAAGUUUAAAGACACGGCUGAAGAAGAAGGUUGAAGAGUCUCCGCCUUGGGUUCAGAUUUCACUCACUUUUGUAGAGCUUCCUGAAAAGAUUAUCAUUCUCAGGAGAUUGUUUCUGUUUACGUUUAUGGCGUUUUGGAGUGUGAUGAACUCUGCCAAGGGUGGUCUCGCAUUCCAGUGUAACAACCUAUGAAAACAAAACAUGAUGCUCAGAGACUGAUGAACUUGAUUAUGCUAAUGAAGGAAGAUUGGUAUCUUUUAGUUACACAAAAUAUAAAGUAAACCGGAUGAUGGAGGCUGAAGACGUACAGGACUAACGUAAUAUGGUCUUCCCAAUGUUUUUUAUGUUUAAAGCUCGCGAAAUCUUUUUUUUUUAUAGUUGCAAGAAUUUUGUUGAAGUUAUGUAACUUAGCUAUAUAAUCAAAUAUAAUCAAAGUAUAUUUACCGGUA